GGGUGAGUAAACUAUAGUUAAUGUACCCCAAAUUUCUGCGAUAGCCACUGGAAACGGUGAUUAAUACUAGAUACACCUUCUUAUCAUAAGGUAAGAAGGGAAAUGUCUUUUCGCUUUGGGAUCAGACUAUAUCCUAUCAGCUAGUUGGUGAGGUAAUGGCUCACCAAGGCAAUGACGGGUAGCGGUUCUGAGAGGAUGAUCCGCCACACUGGUACUGAGACACGGACCAGACUCCUAAUGGAGGCAGCAGUGAGGAAUAUUGCACAAUGGGCGAAAGCCUGAUGCAGCAACGCCGCGUGGAGGAUGACGCAUUUCGGUGUGUAAACUCCUUUUAUAUGUCAAGAAAAUGACGGUAGCAUAUGAAUAAGCACCGGCUAACUCCGUGCCAGCAGCCGCGGUAAUACGGAGGGUGCAAGCGUUACUCGGAAUCACUGGGCGUGAAGGACGCGUAGGCUGUUUAGCAAGUCAGAUGUGAAAUCCAAUGGCUCAACCAUUGAACUGCAUUUGAAACUGCUAGACUAGAGUAUGGGAGGGGGAGAUGGAAUUAGUGGUGUA
This 555-nucleotide ribosomal RNA is filed under the name uncultured bacterium. RNAcentral describes it as "bacterial SSU rRNA". It matches the Rfam family "Bacterial small subunit ribosomal RNA", at positions 104 to 677 of the family's 1533-position model. The record is from RNAcentral.